UGCCCUGCCCCGGAAGAUGCCUCGAGUUUUUACAAGAGGUUGGGACUGGACAUUUUGGCCCCGUCCUCUACUUCCGGGCAGACUCAGGAGGCUGGGCCGCCAAAGAAACGUCCUGUUCAACAGGCGAGCCACACAGCUCCCCUGACCACCACGCCCACUCAAAGACACGACAAAGUGGGACAACAGUGGAAUCAGUCUCAGCAGAGAGAAAGGCAGGCGCCACAUCAUUUCAGACAAAACUAUCCUCAUGAAAACAGAUACAAUGAAAGAGCUGCAUAUGUGAAUACUGCUGCCACCUACCGACCGCAAUAUGCUCCGGUCCAUCGUCCUUAUGAGCAACAAGCUCAUUAUACGACAGGCGUGGUACCUAGCAGCAACAAAU
Saccostrea cuccullata (small rock oyster) is the source of this 382-nucleotide long non-coding RNA. RefSeq lists it as uncharacterized. NCBI's taxonomy places the organism in Eukaryota, Metazoa, Mollusca, Bivalvia, Ostreida, Ostreidae. The transcript is spliced from 3 exons. The record is from RefSeq and is a predicted model, not a curated record.